Molecule: ribosomal RNA, 425 nt
Filed under: uncultured bacterium
Lineage: Bacteria
Description: bacterial SSU rRNA
Rfam family: Bacterial small subunit ribosomal RNA
Source: RNAcentral
GUUGGGAAUCUUGGACAAUGGGGGAAACCCUGAUCCAGCCAUGCCGCGUGAGUGAUGAAGGCCUUCGGGUUGUAAAACUCUUUCGACGGGGACGAUAAUGACGGUACCCGUAGAAGAAGCUCCGGCUAACUUCGUGCCAGCAGCCGCGGUAAUACGAAGGGGGCUAGCGUUGUUCGGAAUUACUGGGCGUAAAGCGCGCGCAGGCGGCUAUCCAAGUCAGUGGUGAAAGCCCGGAGCUCAACUCCGGAACUGCCAUUGAAACUGUUUAGCUUGAGGACGAGAGAGGUGAGUGGAAUUCCCAGUGUAGAGGUGAAAUUCGUAGAUAUUGGGAAGAACACCAGUGGCGAAGGCGGCUCACUGGCUCGUAUCUGACGCUCAGGCGCGAUAGCGUGGGGAUCAAACAGGAUUAGAAACCCGUGUAGUCC